AAUGAACGCUGGCGGCGUGCCUAACACAUGCAAGUCGAGCGAGAAAGUUCCUUCGGGAAUGAGUACAGCGGCGGACGGGUGAGUAACACGUGAGUUAUCUGCCCUUUAGUGAAGAAUACUUUCGAGAAAUCGAAAUUAAUGCUGCAUACGUCCCUUCGGGGAGAAAGAUGGCUUUAUGCUGUCGCUAGAGGAUGAGCUUGCGGACUAUUAGCUAGUUGGUGGGGUAAUGGCCUACCAAGGCGAUGAUGGUUAGCCGGCCUGAGAGGGUGAACGGCCACAUUGGAACUGAGAUACGGUCCAGACUCCUACGGGAGGCAGCAGUGGGGAAUAUUGCGCAAUGGGCGAAAGCCUGACGCAGCGACGCCGCGUGGAGGAUGAAGGUCUUCGGAUUGUAAACUUCUUUUGGUCAGGAACAAACCUGCGCUAUACGCGCAGCUGAGGGUACCUGCAGAAUAAGCACCGGCUAACUCCGUGCCAGCAGCCG
Molecule: ribosomal RNA, 484 nt
Filed under: uncultured bacterium
Lineage: Bacteria
Description: bacterial SSU rRNA
Rfam family: Bacterial small subunit ribosomal RNA
Source: RNAcentral